GGGGAGAGAGGAGACUCACCAGAUCCCAAGAGAGGAUUGCCCUUCCCAAAGGAGUAAGCAGCGUCUUUAUACAAAUGCAGAAUACACAGCACUGUAGUUGCGGACCUCGUGCGAUUUCGCCCCUCCCUGGCAGGACCCCCUGCUCCCGGGGUCCCCCCCCACACAUGAGCCACCCUCCCCUGCAUCCCUGGGACCCCCACCUUCUCCCCACUGCGCCCUGGGGGGGGGGAGGAAGAAGAGACUCACCAGAUCCCCGUGGAAGAGAGCAAGGCAGCAUCUGCAGCAGAGGAAAGCAACCCCCCCCCCCACACACACACACUUGCAGGAAGGGGAGGUUGGGGCUUUUCCUCUGGAGGACCUGGCCCCCCUUUUACUUCCUGUCCUCUCUAGGAAUGCAGCUCAGUUUCCUUUAACCCUUGCAAAGCCAAGUCCACCCUGCUGAGUCCUCUCUGCCUUUUCUCUCCUGCAUUGCACAAUCCCAGAGAUGCUCAUUUUGAGGGGACGCUCUUGGUUGGUCUGUGAUCUGCUCCCUCCCUUGGCCAGAAACUGGAGGAAGAGGUUGCAGGGAAAAGGGGUUUGCAGGAUGCAAGGAACCUCAUCCUAGAAUCCAGGAAUGGGAGCGAUAGAAGGGAGUCCUAGGGUCAUCUAGUCCAACCCCCUGCAGGGCAGGAAUCUGCAAAAGCAUCCCUGACAGAUGGCCUCUGCUCUGAAACUCCAAGGAAGAAGAGUUCCACCACCUUCUUACCUUCAGAAAGAUUUUCCAGCUGUUGAGUCAGAACCUUUUUCUUGCCACUUGAAGCCAUGGGUUUCGGUCCUACCCUGGGGAGCAGGAGAAAACUAGCUGUCUCUCAUGUCUCCCAUUCAGCUAGAUCACAGCUGAGGGUGGAGUAGGACACGCUGUUCCUGCCUCUCCUGGGAGUGAAGAUGAAAUGUCCCUGUUGAUUUUUAGUUGCAUUUAAGAUACUUAAAUUGUGGCACCCAGAACUGAACACAGUACAGUGGUACCUCGGGUCUAGUACUUAAUUCGUUCCAGAGGUCCGUUCUUAACCUGAAACUGUUCUUAACCUGAAGAACCACUUUAGCUAAUGGGGCCUCCUGCUGCUGCCGUGCUGCCGGAGCAAGAUUUCUGUUCUCAUCCUGAAGCAAAGUUCUUAACCUGAAGUAUUAUUUCUGGGUUAGCGGAGUGUGUAACCUGAAGUGUAUGUAACCUGAAGCGUAUGUAACCCGAGGUACCACUGUAUUCCAGGUGUGGUCUGACCAAGGCAGACUAGAGUGGUUCUGUGACUCCCCUGAGAUGCCUCCCACUUUUCUUUGUUGCUGAAAUUGUCUGCGUUUGUGCCUUUCAUAUUUCUCCUUGGGGAAACUGCCAUCCAUCCUGGACUCUCUUCUCUUGGAGUCUUUCUGACCAUUGGAUCUCACCCCGUAGCUCCUUCAGCUUUUUGAAAUUGGCAUUCUGGGAGUCUAUAGCAUGUGUCCGACUACAAUGUUUGAUGUAUUAUAGUAUUUUAAUAUUCUUUUGGAAGCCGCCCAGAGUGGCCGGGGAAGCCCAGCCAGAUGGGCGGGGUAUAAAUAAUAAAUUAUUAUUAUUAUUACACUCAGCUUUCCCUUCCCUCUGUAUUGUGAAACCUAGGAGGACCCAGACCUUCCUCUUCCUGCCUGUGCAUGCAUUGCUCACUAUUUAUAUAAAAAAAUACAGCAGAAAUUUCUAUCCCUUUUGAUCUGGCGGAGUUUUGAUGAAGCCUCCAAAGGAACAUCGGAAGCUGCCUGAACUCUAAGAUCAUCUUCUGAGGCCCUUCUUCAUAUGCCGCCUCCUCGAGAAGUCCAGAGGGUGGCAACAUGAGAUUGGGGCCUUCUCUGCAGUGG
Molecule: long non-coding RNA, 1863 nt
Filed under: Podarcis lilfordi (Lilford's wall lizard)
Lineage: Eukaryota; Metazoa; Chordata; Lepidosauria; Squamata; Lacertidae
Source: RNAcentral